CGUGCGCUCGCGCCCCAGGGGCCGCCCCCGACACUCCAGUGCGACUCUGCGUGCACAGGCCAGAGGCUCAGAACCAGCGCCGGGCUGCCCUGCUCGGCCUCCUGGGCGCGCAGCGGCGUUUGCCCGUGCACGUGCCCUCGCAUCGCGCGCUCCGGGGCCGGGCUCCGGGCGGUUCUCGCCGCUGCAGUUCCACCGGGACUUCCGCGCUUCGGCGGCCUGUCUGACGAGCCGCCGCGCCCAGAGAGGUUCAGGUUGGAGCGACACUUCCCAGAGGGCAGCGGUCACGCCAGAUCUUUGGCUUCCAUUCCGUUUUCGCGCGCUUCUCCCACUUUGCAAGCUCUGGAUUCUCUUUGUUCUUUCCCAGUAGAGGAAUCCCAAGGAGGACUGAUCCGUUUUGGCAGGUGCACAACCAUGGAGUGAAAUCAUACAGUAUUUCUUUCUCUGUCUGACUUAUUUUGCUCAAGAUCCAUCCAUGUUGUCUCACAUGGGAGGAGUUUGUCUGUUUUUAUG
This 510-nucleotide long non-coding RNA is filed under the name Equus asinus (donkey). RNAcentral describes it as "lncRNA (ENSEASG00005038732.1)". The record is from RNAcentral. Lineage: Eukaryota; Metazoa; Chordata; Mammalia; Perissodactyla; Equidae.